RNAcentral lists this ribosomal RNA (404 nucleotides) under uncultured bacterium. RNAcentral's name for it is "bacterial SSU rRNA". It matches the Rfam family "Bacterial small subunit ribosomal RNA", at positions 355 to 776 of the family's 1533-position model. The record is from RNAcentral.
UGGGGAAUAUUGGACAAUGGGGGCAACCCUGAUCCAGCGAUGCCGCGUGAGUGAAGAAGGCCUUCGGGUUGUAAAACUCUUUUGUUAGGGAAGAUAAUGACGGUACCUAACGAAUAAGCACCGGCUAACUUCGUGCCAGCAGCCGCGGUAAUACGAAGGGUGCAAGCGUUGUUCGGAAUUACUGGGCGUAAAGGGCGUGUAGGCGGUCAUAUGCGUCAGGUGUGAAAUCCCCGGGCUCAACCUGGGAAUUGCAUUUGAUACGGUAUGACUAGAGAUCGGUAGAGGGUAGUGGAAUUGCGAGUGUAGAGGUGAAAUUCGUAGAUAUUCGCAGGAACACCAGUGGCGAAGGCGACUACCUGGGCCGAUACUGACGCUGAGGCGCGAAAGCGUGGGGAGCAAACAGG